This 69-nucleotide transfer RNA is filed under the name Sinopoppia nigroflagella. Its description in RNAcentral is "tRNA-Ala". Lineage: Eukaryota; Metazoa; Arthropoda; Insecta; Hymenoptera; Tenthredinidae. The record is from RNAcentral.
AGGAUAAUAGUUAAAAAUAACAUUUGUAUUGCAUUCAAAAAUUAUUAAAUAACUAUUUAAUUUAUCUUA